Molecule: long non-coding RNA, 557 nt
Organism: Zingiber officinale
Lineage: Eukaryota; Viridiplantae; Streptophyta; Magnoliopsida; Zingiberales; Zingiberaceae
Exons: 2
Source: RefSeq, a predicted model, not a curated record
UUUGUUAGCGCGAGAGAUUGAAGCUGCCAGCUUGAUCUAGUUGAGGAUCGACUUGCUGCUCUUGUUGGGUCUACUCCAUGGAGUUGAUCAGGUAUCAACCAGAGAUGAAGAAUGAGUGUUUCAAAGAAAUGAUUUCCUCUACUAGGUCAUCUGGCAGCUUCAAUCACUCGCUCACUAACAAUUGAAUGAUGUUCCAUUUCUUUUCCUCGACAGGAUUCUCUCACAGAACUAGCUAAACAAAGUUGCUAGGUCCUAAACUAUCUGAAACAAAGUGACUUCCUGUGAGAAAUUGAAGGUUUCAAGUUCUUAUAUCGGUGCGUACCUACUUUGUUCAUAUCUAAUUUACGCAGCUAUCGAUAAUUCUUCUGAACUAAUUCCAGGCAACCACAAAGCUUUUCUAGUGUGUGGAUAGUGUACAACAAAGAGGCAAUAUUGUUUCAUAUCCAUGAUUGUGCAACAAACAAGCAGAACUCAAUAUACAUGAGAGAGAGAAACCACAAAACUUGUUCAUGUAAUUUAAGGCUUCAGCUAAUGAGGAACCCACAUCUAUAGUCGAA